AUUUAAAUAGCUUAAAUUAAAGCAUGGUAUUGAAGAUACCAGUAUAGUUCCUAAACUUUUAAAUA
Molecule: transfer RNA, 65 nt
Filed under: Anisandrus dispar
Lineage: Eukaryota; Metazoa; Arthropoda; Insecta; Coleoptera; Curculionidae
Description: tRNA-Phe
Source: RNAcentral